Molecule: ribosomal RNA, 350 nt
Filed under: uncultured bacterium
Lineage: Bacteria
Description: partial 16S ribosomal RNA
Rfam family: Bacterial small subunit ribosomal RNA
Source: RNAcentral
CCUACGGGAGGCAGCAGUGGGGAAUAGUGGGCAAUGGGCGCAAGCCUGACCCAGCAACGCCGCGUGAAGGAAGAAGGCUUUCGGGUUGUAAACUUCUUUUGACAGGGAAGAGGAGAAGACGGUACCUGUCGAAUAAGCCACGGCUAACUACGUGCCAGCAGCCGCGGUAAUACGUCGGUGGCAAGCGUUGUCCGGAUUUACUGGGUGUAAAGGGCGUGUAGCCGGGUUGACAAGUCAGAUGUGAAAUCCUGCGGCUUAACCGCAGAAAUGCAUUUGAAACUGUUGAUCUUGAGUACUGGAGAGUCAGACGGACUUCCUAGUGUAGCGGUGACAUGCGUAGAUAUUAGGAG